Long non-coding RNA from Pezoporus flaviventris, 595 nucleotides. RefSeq lists it as uncharacterized. The record is from RefSeq and is a predicted model, not a curated record. Lineage: Eukaryota; Metazoa; Chordata; Aves; Psittaciformes; Psittacidae. The transcript is spliced from 3 exons.
CCCAAGCUCUCUCUUGUGCCAAGGAAAUAGGGGGCAGCUUGGAGGGGAGCUGCCAAAUUCAAACCAAGUCUUGAGCUCUUUGCACUUCCAAGAUGAGCUCUUACAAAAUUAGGUUUCAUGCCACAUGCAUGAGGACCUUCUGCUUCCAACCAGGCUGGACUACCUGAGGGACAUCACUCUGGGCCUUCCGGAGCCUCUGUUUCUCAUCCUGGCAAGGGGACACAGGCAGAGGGACAGGUGUGGCAAACAGAAGAGUUGUAUUACCAGACACUGACCUUUCCUUCAGCGUGAAGAGGAAAUCAGUCAAGAGGAUCCCUUCUGUCCUUGGUGAAAAGUGCAGUAGAAGCCUUUCUCUGCAGGCCCUCCAGACAAUGCUGCUGGUAGUACUUGUGGAGCUGCCUCCCAGCAUCCCAAGGAUUCUGAAAUUUUAAAUGAGUGCUGUGAAUGCUAAAGUGGCACUCAUAAAUUAGGGGUCUCUAAACCGGGUGCUUGUGACUUGUGCAUUCACAUAUUGCAGUCAAAAAGCUAUGAAUUUUCUGAUUUUUGUCACAUUCUGAUAAGAUUAAAACCCCACAGUUACUUUUGAUCCUGCUGA